This 27876-nucleotide long non-coding RNA is filed under the name Eucalyptus grandis. RNAcentral's name for it is "long non-coding RNA (EGRA_LNC005294)". The record is from RNAcentral. Lineage: Eukaryota; Viridiplantae; Streptophyta; Magnoliopsida; Myrtales; Myrtaceae.
AAGUCUAGCUCCUGGUACAAUUUCCUCCGCCUUCCCUUUUUUCUUUGAUUAAUUCUGUGAUUCCAUUACCUCACUCAUCUGCUUUUGCCUUUUUGAUUGCAGUAACAGCUUCCAACAUGCUGUCCAUCGAGCAGAAGCUAACGGCUUCAUGGACUGCCAACAGGAGAACUUACCGCAGAUGCUAAACAGUGGUGACCAACAAAUCGGACAAGAUGCUGAAAUAUGUCAACCUAUCGAUCUCCAAGCUCUACGGUCCUCUGUGGGGACUAACCAAGUCCAGCAACUCGGACGUGUUCCCUUCCUGGAUCUAAUCCUUACAUUCAGGGAAGAGCCUCGGGUUUGUGUACAUCCAUACUUUGCCUCUAGUGGGCAUCUCCAUUCUCAAGCUACACUUUGGCAUAGGAAGAUACUCCAGCUUCAUAUGUAAUUGCACAGUUUUUCUGGGUUUCAGGGAUGUAAAGAAUUGUGCAGCAAUACCUAUUGGAUAUGGCCUUGGAAAGUUCUCGCUUUCUUUCUUUUCAAAAAUUUUCGUCUUCGCUUCAUGACGUCGGAACCUGCUUCCAAGCUGAAUAAGGGUGAAGAUCGGAGGACGAAAGGAGUGAAGAGACAUUAUAAAAUGAGUGCUAUCCUCUUUCCCCUCAACUUCGCUGGUUAAAAGAGAAAGAGUCUGAGAUGUGCCGCAGCAAAGAUGGUUUGCUGAGGAGUGAGAAAAGAAAGGGCUUCCUUAGAGUUCGUGGGGUCCCUUUUGUUUCUUGAAUUUUUUUCCUUCUUGUGAUGGUGUUGUUAAAAAGCUUUGCAACAAUUUCUGUGUUUGUUAGUGUUAAAAUGUUUAGAUGUGUGUGCUGCGGAAGCAUGGUUUUGGUAUUAGUUAUAGCUUUUGAUUAGUGAUGUGUGCAAGUGUAUGGUAUAUUUUGUAGAGGAUGGACAAAGGACAAGAUAGGAUAAUUGAAGGACAAAGAACAUAGGAUAUAAUUUAUCAAAUUGAUGAAAAUAGAUAGUACAAAAUAUUUUGAUAUAAUGGAGGAAUAUUUCAUAAAAUAGGAAUCAUCUUAACUCUACUCCUCCACAUACGGUGGAGGUCUAAACCUCACACCUCAAAUGAUGAACUACAAGGCUAUUUAUAGGUGUAAGUCACCACCUUAGAAGAUUCUAGACUUCUCUAACAUGCUGGAAAUUUUCAGCCACAAUUUUUUAACCAUCCAAAACUUCAUCUAGAGAAUUCUAGAUUGUAGUUUAGCAACUCUAGGAAAUUCUAGAAAAUGGAUCAGUAUUUCCAACAGUUAGGAUAUAGCCUUCUACAAAACAGUUGUAUCUAUUCGGUUUUUGAAGAAUUUAAGGUAUAAAAGUAGACUUUUGCUCAUUUGGAGAGAGCUCUUCCCAUGUUGACUUUAUUCAUGACUUUCGUGCACUCUUUACUUUCUUUUUUUCAUUAUGCACGCAAAGGAUCUGUAUAUCGGAUAGUAAGGUCAGCUCUACACAAUCUGUUUUCAUUAUCUUUUGUAGUUGGGAACCACUCGUACCUCGACCUCAACAUUCUCAAGUUCACCAAUUGAACAAGUCUGGCGUACCAUCGAAAAGCAGUAAGCUCAAGUGGACUCCAACUAAUGGACGGAUACAGAGUAUCUAUCACAAGUAGAGAUUAAUACAACGUUGAUGUUGUAAUUGUCAAUAUUGGGAAUAAAAAGUUCAUCAUUUGAGGCAUAAACAAUAAACACCACAAAGCAAUGACGUGGAGGAUCUGGCAUUUUAAUACCGACUAGAAGUCCGUACAAUAGAUUAUACAAGAUGAACAUUGAUUAGCCCAACACUGGCCAUAAAGAAACAUUCUCAGUUGCACAAUACCUAUUUACAUUUUACUUGUUUGGUUUCUUCAACUCAACCAUAAUCACAAUGAUAUUGUCUUGGCUAUCUCGAGCCAUGGCCAGUUUGGCUAGCACUGCAGCCACCUCGACAGCAUUACUUCCUCUCAGCUCCUCAGGGAACCUCCUCUUUAUAUAUCUGUCAAGGCACCUCCUCACAACUUGGCAGGCAUCCUCAUUAGAGAGCGCAUCCCAUAACCCAUCGCUUACUAUCACGAGGAAGUCGUCCAACUCUGUUCUCUUGCUUACCGUGUCCUCUGGCUCAGCCAUCACGUAUUGCUUUAAACAAUAAUCUCCUGCAGCAAGUAAAUGCCACUAUCAGAUACAGACACCACACAAUGGCACACGUACAAGAGAAAAAGCCAGUCUCCAGCUAAAACUUCUGCAUGAGAGGUGUUGGUUAUUGAUCCCUAUUUGUAAUUUGCCCUAAACAUUGUCUCUUGUACAUGUCGAAAGGCUGAAGUUACCAAUUCUAAGGUGCACUCAAACAACUUGUUAACAAACUAGAAUCUCAGUGAUUCAAUAUGUUCCCUUCAAGCACAGAGGUUCAGCACCACAAUAGUACUAAUGCUAACCACAAAUUCGACUUACUCAGCACUUGCUGAAGUAACCAAUGCAAUUGGAAACCAACAUUCCAUGCAUAAAAGCAUCGAAUAUAGUCCAUCAUUAGCGCCAUUUGAUUGAUAAAGUUCCACAUACCCAUUGGCCUCAAUGUAGCAAGCACGCCUAGGACACGGGAUCCAUUCCAAUCUAUGACCCUUCCUCUAGCUGCUUCCACUCUCCUUCUCAGCAAGCCUGUUAGGUUAUUCAAGGGAGUCAAUAAGCCAUUUUAAUCGAAAUCCAAGAGAUUUAACUCAAGAUAUGAUGCAUGACAGGACAUAACUGUUUUCACUUUAGCUCAAGUAAUUUAGUCUGCUACUGAUCUAGCAUUGGCAACUAAUCGAGUAUCUACUGUGACAAAUGCUAUAAAGAUGUUGCUCAGGAAAAUCUUGCCACCUUUCAAACUGUACCAUUUCAAUAUGAAGAUGACUUUACUCGCUUUCACUGGCUGAAGACCUUGUUACUGUUUCAAUAUCAGAAAAUAGACAUGUCAUCGAAGAAGAGAUGGUAUAAAAGUAUUGGCAAGAGCUUUUUGGAUUCAUUUAUCAACCUGGUAACAUGCCAUAUUGCGACGGGGUGCCGCUAGCUAUCACCCGUUUGUGGCGACUUGAAGUGAUUUUAGCAGUGUUCAAUCGAAGAAUUGCAGAAUGAACAAAGCGUCGCUGACCACAAAAGAUCACAGGGACAAAUUCUAGUUCACUGAUUAAACCAACAGGGCAAGAUGGGCUUCGGCCUGUCUACAUAACCAUGGACAAAAAACAAAGAAUGGCAGAGUGUAGUAAGUUCCCCUAAUCAUAGGAUGUCAACCCUGCAAAGCAUGACCCCAAAGUCAACCUAAUCUUAAUCAGACAUUCUAGGAAUAUCUUGCACAUGCUUUCAUAUAAAACCAACACCAUAAGAUAAAUUAAGCACCUUUGAAAGAACACCAAGUGAACUUUGACCCUGAUACACAUCUUUGAGCCUAACAAUAUUUCAUUUAUCGACUUAUGAACCAAGUCUACGUUACGUCCCUUGCAAAGUCUCUUUUGAUUAGGGCACUUGAAUUAACGUAGAGGUUCACAUGUCUUAAGUAUCGCUCAAAGAAAUGCGGGCAAGAUUAUUUCUUUCUCAUUUUGCAUGAUUCUUGACUUGUAAACCCGGAAAUGACUGCGGAGUUGUUCUUUCAAUAGCCUUGACUCAAAGAGUCCAUUAGUUAAGCCAUUGACCAAGCUCACGUUACGGUCCCUGUUAAAGACCCCUCAGAUUGGUAAAGUCGUACCGCUUGUAAGAAUACUCGGACCCAUGUCGAUAUGGUGAGAUGGAGUGAUUCUCAUAGCCCUUCUAAAUGAGAGUAAGUGAAAGUUCUUUCUAAUUGAAAGUCUCUCAUUUAGUAUUCUUAGGAAAUCCAUGUCAUGAGUGAAAAUUGUCAUGAACAAUAAUUUUCUCCAGUGGAAAUUUGGGUGAUGCAAAUGUCAUUAUGCAUGAAUCCUGAUUGAAUUGAUAAAAAUUUCAGUGUAUUUUGAAAUGUUCAUUCCAGAAUAGCCUUAAUAGCUUAUUUCUUUGGUGAAUGCACUUUUGCUCUAAUCAUGUCUGACAAGUAAUGUUUUCUCAAAGAUCCAAGAGUUCCUAACAUUCAGGUUCCUUUCAAAAUGCCUCAUGAUAUUAGGAGAUGAGAAACAUUCACGAACAUUCAAGGUGCAUUCUUGAUGUUCCAAAAUUUAUUUCUAGCAGGAGGUAAAAGUCCUACACAGGAUAUCUAAACUUUCAGAAGACAUAUCCCUAAGAAUAAGAGAUAUCACAAGGUAAGUAUAUCUCUACCCAUACUCUAAAUACUUGUCAUUGUGCAUGUAUUCUCUCUCAAGUACAUUGACACUUGACUUGGUCAAGCUGUCCUCUAUAUUGACCCGGCGUGCUUUCAUAGCCUAGAGUCCUUUUCAUCGACUCGGCGUGCUUCUGUAGCCCGGUGUCCUUUAUAUUGACCUAGCGUGCUUUCAUAGCCUAGAGUCCCUUUCAUCGAUCCGGCGUGCUUCUAUAGCCCGGUGUUCUUUAUAUUGACCUAGUGUGCUUUUGUAGCCCAGAGUCCCUUUCAUCAACUCAGCGUGUUUCCGUAGCCCAAUGUUCUUUAUAUUGACCUGGCGUGCUUUUGUAGCUCAGAGUCCCUUUUAUCGACUCGGCGUGCUUUCAUAGUCCGGUGUCCUUUAUAUUAACAUGGCAUGCUUUCGUAGCCCAGAGUCCCUUUCAUUGACCCAGCGUGCUUCCGUAACUCGGUGUCCUUUAUAUUGGCCUUGCAUGCGUUCAUAGCCCAAAGUCUCUUUCAUCGACCCGACGUGCUUCCGGAGCUCGGUGUCCUUUAUAUUGACCUGGCGUGCUUUCGUAGCCCAGAGUCCCUUUCAUCGACCUGACGUGCUUUCGUAGCCCAAUGUCCUUUAUAUUGACCCGGCGUGCUUUCGUAGAUUAGAGUCCCUUUCAUCGAUCCGACGUGCUUCCGUAGCCCGGAAUCUUUUUCAUCGACUCGGCGUGCUUCUAUAGCUUGAGUUCCUUUUUAGAAAUUAAGAGUCUGUGGAUUUCACCAAAAUCUUUCAAUCCGUUUUUGACAUCUCAAUUUGGAUCUGAAUGUCACAAAAUAUUUUCAUGUAAACAUUUCACUCUAGAUGUGAAUAUUAUACCUUUGUUUGGAUCUAGGUAUUUCGAGUUCCAAAAUAUUAACAUCUCAUUUAGGCGACCGUAGAAAGGUACAGGUCCUAGACAGUAUAUUUGUAGCUUUAACAAGCGACCUUAGAAAGGUAUGGGUCCUAGAAAGGCUAUUUACCAUGCAGGCGACUGUAGGUAUAGGUCCUGGAAAGCUGUUCCUCGUUUAGGCGACCGUAGAAUGGUACGAGUCCUAGGCAAUAGUUGUUUCCUGUUUAGGCGAUCGUAGGAUGGUAGGGGUUCUAGACAACGUUUGUUGCUCUAACAGGCAACCAUAAAAAGGUACGGGUCUUGAUAGAAGCAAUUUUUCCGUCAAGGUGACCGGAGAAAGGUUCGGGUCCUAGACAACAAAAAACUGUCAUACUGGGCGAUUGUAAAAAGGUACAGGUCCUAGGAUGACAGUCUAUUUACAAAGCCUGGUGAUUAUCUGGGCGACCGUAGAAAGGUACGAGUCCUAGACAUGUAAUACCAGUUAUCUUGAAUUAUUUUACAAUUCUCAAAAGUAAGUUAUUCCAGGUAGGUUCAUUUAUUAUUUGCAUUAACAUUUCCAUGCAUCAAAUAAAUUGCAUUUCAAAAUGGAAUUUAUUUUCCAUAAAAGAAAAUAAUUUAGUGCAUGUGCAUAGUCAAAAUUUAGGUCUCAAUUUGUCUUUGAAGGCAACCUCUACGAACUCACCUUCAAAGAGGGGCAGCUGUUAACACCUAAAUUUUGAUAACCUGACCAUUUAUUUAUUGUAUAGAAAAUUAGAGAUAAAUCUUUAACCCCUAAAAAAAUAUAUAUCAAAAUUGCAUUGUGCAUUUGCAUCAGACCGAUGGUAGAAUAUUUCAAGAUAUUCUAUGGGCAACAGGAAAAAGAAAGCGCAGGAAUUGAGAGACAAAAUGGAGGAAAGAAAUUAAGGCAUUUGUGAAAAGUGUGGGUUGCUAGAAUUUAUAAAAGGAACGCCCAUCCGGCCAUAUUCGCAAGAAAAAGAGAGGAAGCCGGCCUAUGAAUUGUGAAUGGAGAUGAGCGAAUGUGGACACGUUCAAGGCAAUAUGAGCAGAAGUAGAAAAUGAAACCAAAAGAUUGUGAGUGCUAAUUUAGAAGUAAAUUAGAGAGAUCAAUUUUUGGUGACAAAUCAAAGCCAAAACUCAGCAAUUUCCUAAGAAUCAUCAAUCGGUUCCACGGAUCCAGACUUUCCAACUAUACGUGGGAGAUUUUGCACACCCUCAGAUAGAACCCGGGGGGGGGGGGCGGAAAAUUCAUGCGAGGAAGAAAAAGAAUUCAUGCAAGAGAGAGUGCAAAGAGAGAGAGAAAAAAAAGAAGAAGAGAGGAAUUCCCGCCCCCCCGAUCCAAAAAGGUCAAAAGGAAAAUGUAAUUUCUUUUCUUCUCUGACAACCUGCACAAGAAAAGAAAGGAGAGGUCAGUAAGAAGGGAAAAGUCCACAGCAAAGUACAGAGAGAGGGGGAGGGGACAUGAGAGAGACGUAAAAAAAAAAAAAAAGAGGAAAAGGAAAAAGAAACAGAAAAAGAAGGAAGACAGGCCCCCGUCGUUCACUCGCCACUGUCCCCCUUCCGGCGACGCAGCGCCUGACGCCCUGUAGCACCACCAGAGCCCGACGCCGGGAGGGAAGACGCCGCCAUUGCUGCUUCCAUGUCGUCCUCCGCUAGCAGCGCCACCACCAUCGUUCGCUCCCUCACCCGUCGGCCCGCAAUAUGUUGUUCGUGCCUCACCGUGCUCCUGCCCUCGCCAAUGCCGCUAGCUCACCACCGCCUGUCCCUGCUUCGCCCGAUACUUUACUUCUCGACGACCGUGCCUGCAGCGCCCACAACCCAACAUCAGCAGCCUGCGCUACCUCCGCGCCUUUGAACGUCGCCCUUGCCCCCGCUCCGCCUGGCGUCCAACGACCGUGCUCCUGCCCUCGCCAGAGCUCCGAUGUCGACCAUCCGACCUCCCCGUCGCCGUGUACACCCCCCAUCGCGCUGUUGUCCUCCCUGCACUUUUCCCUUAGGUAGUUUGUUUUUUUUGUUUUUGUUUUUUUGUUUGUUUUUUUUUUCAUUUAUUUUUUUUAUUUAUUUUACUUAUUUUUUUAGCUUAGCUAUUUAAAUUGGAACAUUGGAUGUCAGUAUUCAUUUUAUGAAUAUUGUAAGCAUUAUCCACAUGAUUUUGCCCAAAAUUAUUGUAAUUAUUAAUUUGAUCCGUAAGACGUCGGAUUUUUUUUAAUUAUAUUAAUUUUCUAGGCAUUUUGUUAGUAUUUUAAUUGUUAAAUCAUUAUAAUUAUUAAUUUGACCCGUAAGAUUUCCGAUCAAAUUUUUAAUUAUUUUGAAUUUUCUCUUAUGGUGUAAUGCUUAGGAUUAAAAUAAUCGUUAAUUUAACCCGUGAGACAACGGAUUAUUUUUUUGGUUAUUUUAAUUCUUAUUUGAUGAAUAUCUUGAUUGUUUAGACAUAAUUGCUUGUCUUGGAAAAACACUAAAAAAAAAAAAAUCAAAUCUUUCAUUGAAGUGUGCUGGUUUAGUAAAUUAGGAUUGCAUUUUUAGAUUGCACGUUUAAAUAAUUUUUGGACUAGAUUAGGGUCGGAUCUAAAUAAUUUUUUAGACAAGGCCUCAGAUAAUAUUUGCACAUUUUAGUAAUCUCACUUUAAAAAAAAAAAAUUUCUAAGAUAGAAUAGGAUUUAAGUCGAAUUAACCCCUAAAAAAUUUUAGAAAAUUAUUCACUUUAGACAUUUUAAAUAGGUUUUUAUUUAUUGCGAAUUUCAAAUAAAAAAUAAAAAUAUUAGGUGCAUGUUAAAUAGUUUGCAUAAUAGAAAUAGCUUGUUAGUAAAAUUAGGUCACGUAGUUAAAGUGCAUGUUUUAUGGUAAAGUUCUAAUUUCUAGAUAAAAGAAAACCAAAAAAAAAAAUUAUUUGCUUUAGUGUGUUGAAUUUCUUUGGUACAAUUCAUUUCAUUGAGUGUUUAAUAAUGAUUGAGCACCCGUGUGAUCACCCUUCUGCAUGAUAGAGAUUUAUAUUAAAAUAAAUCCAAUUUGCUUGUAAAAACAUUUUUGAAAAUAACAAGAAUGGUAUUGAAAGGGCAUUAGAGAAAUCUAGUGUAAUCAAGUCAUCGUAUCCAAAGUCUCUGAUUCAUAGGAGUAAAAUAAUUCUCCUAUUAUUUUACUUAUGUGUCUAAUUAACCUACCAUAAACUAAUUAGUGGCGACUCCUAAAUAAAAUCCAUUUGCAUGUUAAAAAUUUGAACCUAAGUCGCGAAUUGGUUUGGGCUUGGGAGAGCCCAAGCAAAGUUUAAAACUUGGUAGUCCAUUAGCCUAAAUUCUAGGUGGUGCAUUCGAAAUUUAGGUCGCGACACCUCCCUCCUGAGCCGCCCCCGUUGCAGCCGCCGCUGGAAGUACUCCCGCCGCUCGGCGUCUCCCCAUCGUUCCUCCUGCAAGGAUCGGCGGCGGCGACUGUGACAUCUCAAUUUUUCAACCCUAUUUUCUACUGAAUUAUUGGGCAUUUCAUUAACACGCAUAUAGGGCUAUUCUUAGAGUUGAUCAUUCUCGAGAUAACUAGACGAUCUUGGGAAGUUAUUAAGGGCUUUAAGGCAAAUAGACUUGAGAAUUCAACCAUGAAUCGGCUUCUUAACUGUGCUUAUCUUUAGAGGCCAUUAUGACACAAUUAAAAAUUAAUUUGAGAUUAGAGAUAGGUCUCUUCAACUGAGAUAUGUGGUCAAUCAUGGGUGACUCCACUAAAUUGGAAAAUUCUCAUCGAUCAACACUAAUAUGAUUUUACUGUCGUUUUGGUACCCUGUGUCCAUAAUUGAAUCCUCGAGAUUUUCAUGAUAAUCGAGAGUCGCCAUUGAGUCGAGUGGGUUCAUAGUGGCUCGAAGAAAAUUGACCACAGGUCAUUUGCCCUAAAAAUUUUUGAAAACUAUCUGGUAGUUUAGGUCACGCAAAAAAAGCACCGAAUGGAAAUUAACCGCUAAUUCAAGUCCGAUUUCAGAAAUUGAAGAUUCUGUCAUGUCGUAAUAAGUUUUAGUACCCACGACUCAGUCUAAGAGAAUUUUUGGAAAAAGUUAGUGUAUGAUCGUUUUGGGCAGAAAAUGCCGGGGAUUAAUUUUGGUUGCAAAAUUGGGAAGCAAGAUGGAUAUGUGGGUGAGGAAAAAUGCUAAGACGAUCAAUGAGGCAUCAAUUGAUUUUCCUAUGGCCAAUUGAGAUUAAAUCAAGUAAGUAGAGGAAUUCAAUUGAAGCCAAAUAAUGUCAAUUUCGUAGCUCCCCCUUCCCCCUAGCAUUUUGGACCCUUUGGCAUGUCCAAGAAGGUGCAUGUGUGGCUCAAUAUGAGCCAAGGACCAAUGCUUGGCUUAGGAUGGCUUAGGAAGAUAUUUUUGUGGAAAAAUUGGCAUAGGGUCCCUCCAUCUCUCUCUCCCUCAUCCUCUCCCUCACUCCACCGUCCAUCCCUCUCUCCUCUCCCUCUUGCUUCAUGCGACUGGCAACCAACAGAGGAAGAAGCAGCAGCCUUUGCCGCCUAGAUGCCAAGCCGUUGCCACCAUCCACCGUCGCACGCCAUCUCACCGCUCGCUGCCUCACACCUGGCCAUGCGCCCCGCCUGCCCUCUCUGCCUUCAGUCGCGCCAUUCAACCACCUCACUAUCCAAUAGACCCAUUUGGAGUUCGUUUUUGGCCAUUUCUUCGUCAAUAAACCUCCCUCUAGGCCUGGUUUGGCCUAUUCUUGCAUUCCCAAGCCUCACCGCACUAAGCCGAGCUAAUUUCCUUCCAUUUGCUGCCAAGAUCAGCAGCUUCUGUUGUGGGUUUCCAGCCACCAUGCAAGUUCGUUUUGAGGUGUUUGUGGGUCCCGAUCCCGAGGUCCGCUUUGGAGUUUAACGUCCCUUAUGACGUUCCUGACAUUUCAAUCCGAGCGGAUUGUUAAUCGGGUGAAUUUAGCUCACUAAUUCUUGCUUAGUUUGUUAAUUAUGCUUAAGGGUUGAUUAGUGUUAAUUAAGUAGGAUUAGGUGGUUAUAUUAGAGUUGAUUAGUGAUCAUUAAUUAAUUAUGAUGUAUGUUAGGCAUUUGACUAGUGUAAUUAGCUAGAUGAUAGCAUAUAUUAUUUAUUGAAUGCAUAUCGAGAUUUUUCCCAAUCUGUUCUGGCAUCUAAUUAGGCAUUACAGGCAUAAAUUGGAUUUUUAGUAUUUAUUUAUUAAUUUUCAAAAUUAAUUUAAUUAUUUAUUUAUUCUCUGGAAAUUAGAUAGAGAUAGCUGACGACUAGAAUUUUAUGCUGAUUGUCGUGGUGCAGUCCGUUUAUUUAUUGGAGCUCUACGUUGCGUUGAAUUGAAUUGAUUGUGGAUGGGCUAUAAAGUGGAGAAAAUUGUGAGAGUGAUCUGAUUAUACUCUCGGCUAAGACCAAUCGGGUACAAUGUUAUCGGGUAUGUUAAAGUUAAGGGAGAAUUAGGUAGCACGUGGCUUGGUGAUUAAAGUACAUCACCAUGGCGAAAAUGGCGUUUGAAAGAGAAUGCACGUGACUUAUGGACAUACGUGGUUUGGUGAUUCAGUAUAUCACUAUGGCGAAAACGGUGCCUGAAAGAGAAUGCACGUGACUUAUGAACAUACAUGGCUCGAUGAUUUAGUACAUCACCAUGGCGAAAAUAGUGCCUGAAAAAGAAUGCACGUAAAUGGUUUAUAUUGGCUCUAUGAUUAAAUAUAUCACCCUGGCGAAAAUGACGCUCGAGAGCAUGUACGUAAAUUGUCUAUAUUGGCUCUGUGAUUAAAUAUAUCACCUCGACGAAAACGACGCCCGAGAGCAUGUAUGUAAAUUGUCUAUAUUAGCUCUGUGAUUAAGUAUAUCACCCCGGUGAAAACGACGCCCAAGAGCAUGCACAUAAAGUGUUCAUUGUAUAUCACCUUGGUGAAAAUGGCGCCUUAGAAGAUAUGCAUAGUAAGGUGACUAGGUAUAUUAUACUGGGAAUUGUAUAAUAUAGAUGAAAAUGACAUUGAGAUGGUCCGAUUGACAUGUAAUCGACUAGGUCGAUUGAUUGAGAUAUCAAUCCAUGAUGUGAUUGUUUGGGUGACUAUUGAACUGUGCUAAUACGCAGGUAGAAUCUGAGGUCAAGGUAAGUCCUCUGACCCGUGUGUGCAUAGGCAACCCGGUUAGCGUAUUGGUUUACUAAUCGAGUUUUAGGGGGUAGAACUUGCUAAGAUGUGGUCUCAAUGGUUAUUGUAUAACCAUUUCAAUCCCCUAGAUGGCAGCACCUCCACCUCCUCGUCUUCCUAGACAUUUUGGUGUUCCAGUGGAAGUCACAGAGAUGGAGACCCACUUCCCGAUUCAUCCUCAUCCUGAAGGAUUGGAGUAUGUCCCGGUUCAGUCGACCAUCGGGAACAGAUGCCUUGAGGCUCCACAAGUAUCGGUCAUGGUAUCAUGAAUAUUACGAUGGGUGAAGAUUGGGCCCUAUGUUUGAAAAUGAUGUGCCUAUGUUUUUCUUGGAGGAGGCAUUCGGGAAGGGGACAGAUGAUCACAAGGAUGGGUUGGUAGUGGAGGCAAAGGACCCGAAGCUCGAGAGCAAGCCUGAGCCACCUGUGUACUUAGUAGCAAGAUCCAAUUGGAGCAAUGCCAUAAGAAGGGGAGAUAGUCGAGCAAUAGGAGGGACAGGAGGAGAAUCAGGAGUGGGAAUGGCCAGAGGUGGAACCUGUAGCAGAGGAAGCUGAUGACGAGCCAGAGGUGAAUUUUGAAGAAGAAGAGCUUGAGGACAAACCGGAAGAAGAAGAGGAGCUAGAAGAAAAUGAGUUUAGUGAAGAGGAGUCGAAGAAGGAUGACCUCGAGGAGGAUCUUGAGUACGACCUAGAUGGGAACGGAUGAGAACUGAGAUCCCAUCCUGUUUUGCAAACUUUGGGUUUUGAUUGGAUAUAUAGUAGAUCAAACUUGUGAAUAGUAUUGUAUUAUACUAUAGUUUGCCUUAUAUAAAAGUGUGGUUACGUGUUUUCACGUUGUGAAAAUUAUAGUAUACUUUUCUAUCCCAAUAUUUUAUUGUCUGGGGAUUAUUGUCCGCUUUCACAUGCGUAUUAAAAUAAAAGGGGUCGGUGAUGCGUCUUGGGACGUCGUUAUUAAUCGACCAGUUGAGGGAUGGGCACUCGAUUGAGGAUCGAGACCUGACAUCCCAUUUAAGUGGUAUCAGAGCGAAGUAAAAGAUUGGAGUGAUAAGGAGGAAUGGGUUUUGGGAUAGUAGUAAGAAAGGCCUUUAAAUUCAUGCCGGUGCAUGUUUGUGUUAACUGGAUGCUAGAAUUACUUCUUGUUUGAAUUGCUCUAUUUCUAAUUUGGUAUUAAAUUAGAAGCAGGUGUUAGUUGAUUAAAGCUACACCAUGAGCAAUUAGGAGCCUAGAACUCCUGUUAAAAAGGUCAAUAGGGUCGUGAAUCGGGGCAGAACGCCAACCAAGGUCGGCGCCCGAGGAGGCCGUGGUAAAGCGCCAGCUGUGGCUAGCGCUAGUGGAGAAGCAUCACCUCCUGUUGGUGCUAGGGUAGUAGCCCCUGAUCAUCCUAGGUUCGACGGGAUCAUGCGUGUACUUGAAGUCUUGGGUAACAGAAUGGAUCGGUAGGCUUAGAACUAAGCCGCUGUUGUUGAAGCCGCGGCUUAAGCCGCUGUCACCACUGCCGCCCUUGCUGUUGCACCUACCGCCGUACCUGUUGGAGGUCCGCUAGGAGUUGUGGUCACUAAAAAACCAAUCCACAAGCUGGUGGAGCAAUUCUUGAAAUUGCACCCACCUUAGUUCACCGGGACAGGAGAUCCCGAAGCUACUGGCUUAUGGGUUUAGAAACUCAAGAAAGCGUUUGCAUUGCUGAUGUGCAACGAGACGGAGAAAGUAAUUUUAGCAACUUAUCAGCUAGAGGGAGUUGCGAACACUUGUUGGAUGACUACUCGAGAAACGAUCUUUCCAGAAGGCGCUGUUCAAGAGUGGAACAUUUUCCUUGAAGUCUUCAAUGAUAAGUAUUUCUUUGAGACCACCAGGGAGGUGAAGAUGGCUGAAUUUCAACACCUUCGCCAAGGUUCCCUAACUGUUGAUGAGUAUGAGGCGAAGUUCACUGAACUUUCACGAUAUGCCCCUGAGCUAAUUGAGAACCCUGUAAACCGAGCGAGAAGGUUUAGGGAUGGAUUUAGACCGGACAUGAGAAGCACCUUAGUCCUUUUGGAUCUGAAGACUUACAACGAUCUAUAUCGAAGAGCCCAGAAAAUUGAGAAGGAUCUGAACGAGAGAGUUGCCUCAUCUGGAUUGAGGUUUAGCUCUCAUUGAGAAAGUAUUUGCCAGGGAAAAAGACCCAUGCCUGGAGGUAAAUCCCAUUCUCCACCCUUCAAGAGGAGUGGAUUUAGUAGGCCGAUGCCCAAUAGGAUUGAUAUAUGUCGCUCGUGUGGAAGGUGACACGGGUCAGCUCCAUGCCUUGCCAGGUCAAGAGCAUGUUUCGAAUGUGGCCAACAAGGUCACAUUGCAAGAAAUAUUCCGAGGAAGCAAAGAGGGCAACCUCAGUUACCACCGCCGUCACCGAUAAAAUAGACAAUAAGGUAUGCCCAUCAGAAUGUGCCAUAGGGAGGAUAGCUGAGACCUCCAGUCCAAGGCACAAUUUAUGCUAUCACACAAGGUCAGGCAGAAGCUGCGCCUGACGUGAUCACAGGUAUAGUAUUGUUCAACGACCAACUGGCUUAUGCUUUGUUUGACUAGGGAGCAACCCAUUCCUUUAUUGCCGAGCAGUAUGUUAAGUUGUUAGGGUUGAGUCCUGUAUUGCUGGAGUCGGUAGUUUGCAUAUCUACACUGUCGAAGGAUACAUUGAUUGCUGCUUUGAGUCGUUCUGGUUGCAAGUUAGUGAUUGGUGAGCGAAAGGGGAAAAUAGACUUGUUAGUCCUAACCAUGUAUGACUUUGAUUUGAUAAUCGGCAUGGACUGACUCACCAAGCAACGAGUUAUAAUGGAUUGCUAUUGUGAAGCGAUUUAGUUUGACCCGUUAGGGGGUAAGAGCUUCGAGUUUGUCGAGAAUCGAGGAGGACCCUCGAUUGUCAUGAUCUCGUCGCAAGAGACAACUUGUCUAUUAGAUGAGGGUUGUCAAGGUUACCUGGCAACUGUCGUGGAUACGACAGUUGUGGAGCUGAAGAUGGAAGACAUAGUUGUGGUACGAGAAUUUCCAGAUGUCUUUCCAAAAGAAUUGGCAAGUCUACCGCCAGAAAGAGAGAUAGAAUUUGUGAUUGAACUAGCACCCGAUACAGAGACAAUCUCUAAAGCUGCUUAUCGAAUGGCAUUAUUUGAAUUGAAGGAACUGAAGGUGCAGAUGCAAGAGUUACUAGAUAAAGGAUUUAUUCGUCCCAGUGCAUCACCUUAUGAAGCAUCAGUUCUGUUUGUAAAGAAAAAAGAUGGUUCGUUGCGCUUGUGCAUCGACUAUCCACUGCCAAGGAUUGAUGACUUUUUUUUAUCAACUUCAAGGAGCAUCGAUUUUCUCAAAGAUCGACCUGAGGACGAGAUAUCAUCAUCUGAGGAUUAGGAAGGAGGACUUUCCUAAGUUAGCAUUUCGUACUCGAUAUGGUCAUUAUGAGUUCACAGUGAUGUCACUUGGGUUGACGAAUGCUUCAACUGCUUUCAUGGAUUUAAUGAACAAGGUAUUCAAGGAGUACCUAGAUUAGUUUGUGAUCGUGUUCAUCGAUGAUAUUCUAGUUUAUUCAAGAAGUGGUGAAGAGCAUGAGUCAUUUGAGACUAGUGUUGUAGACACUAAGAGUUCAUCAGUUAUACGCUAAGUUUAGUAAGUGCGAGUUUUGGUUAACUCGUGUUGCUUUCUUAGGGCAAGUGAUUUCAAGUGAAGGAAUUUCAGUGGACCUGAACAAGAUUGAAGUUGUGAUCAACUGGCCAAGACCGACUAUAGUGACAGAAAUAAAAAAACUUUCUAGGUUUAGCAAGGUAUUAUAGACGGUUUGUGGAAGGAUUCUCAUCGUUAGUAUCGCCUCUGACAAAGCUCCUGAAGAAGGAAGAGAAGUUCGUGUGGGAUAGACAAGUGCAAAGAUAUUUUCCAAGAGCUUAAGGAAAAGCUGACUACUGCACCUGUGCUAACGAUUCCAUCUGAUCCUGGAUGAUUCGAGAUCUACAGUGAUGCAUCAUUUAAAGGAUUUGGUUGUGUGCUGAUGCAACAUGGUAGGGUUGUUUUCUACGCUUCUCGCCAGUUGAGACCUCAUGAACAGAAUUAUCUGACGCAUGACUUAGAACUCGUAGCGAUUAUCUUUGUGUUGAAGAUUUGGAGACACUACUUGUGCGAGGAAAAGUUUCAGAUCUUCACGGACCAUUAGAGUCUCAAGUACCUAUUCUCUCAUAACGAGUUGAACAUGAGACAGUGCUGAUGGAUGGAGUUGCUAAAGGACGACAACUGUGAUAUUAUGUAUCAUCCAGGAAAGGCGAAUAAGGUCGCGAAUGCUUUGAGUUGAAAGUCUUUAAUUGCUCAUAUACUGAUUAAGGAGUGGAACUUAAUCGAGAGAGCUCGAGAUUCGGUAUUCAAACUUGGCUCGUUAAUGACCCAUUUAACUAAAAAUGGGCCCAUAAAGGGGUCAAUGACCCAUUUUGACAACUCUACCCAUUUUUAGUUAAAUGGGUCGUUAAUGGGUCAAGCUUUAUUUUCCAAAGCGCCAACAAUGGGUUUUAAAAAUAAAGAGGCUGAGAUAAAUGGUUCUUAAAUGGGUUUGCUCUCAAACUCAUUUAUCAACCCAUUAAAAAUGAACCUAUUUACUCUCCCUCCUUGUACUACAAGUCGGGACUUGAGAGGCCGAAAGCUCGCUGGCGACUUCCUCUAUUUUUUUUCCGAGCAUUUCGACUUCUACGUUUCUUCUCCUCCUUCUCCUUCCGUAAUCAACUACCAUUGCCACUGACGUCACCGCCGUCUUUACCAUCCGCAGAAAGCGAUUCCGAUGUGAUCAAAUCGAUCCAUCGACCCGAGGCACGAAACAAACAAAGAAACCUCAAAUCCUACGACAAACCUCGAGCCUCUUCAUGGAACAAUCCCAUAGCAGGAGCGCGAACAGGAGCAGGUUCGAGCACAUGUGUGGGGACAAAGCCUGUUCACCGUGAUGCUCUAGCGAGAAAGGCGAGUGAUAAAAGAACAAGUACCAUGUGAAUUCCAGUUUUCAAUUCUCUUGCAGUAUCCCUUGUUGCAAUUAGUAGUUCAUCAGUGCAAUUCAUAAUUUGCCUGAUUCCAAGCCAUAUUCUGAUCCAUCCAUCAGCAUUAUCAUGAUGCUUCUCGUAGAGCUCCUUGUGUGACUGCAUCCUUUAAGCCAAUUGCCAUGAGUAAAUUGUCAACAACAACUAUGACUCAAUUUUGAAUGCAGUUGAAACUAGAGCUAGUCAUGUGAGGAAAAAGCGAAGCCUAUUUUGCAGUUUCAUACAAAUAUAACUGUCGCAACCAAAUUUUCAAGUGUGAACCACCUAGGGUUUGGCUAAUGGAUUGUUAAACCUAGACUUAACUCGGGCUCUCCCAAGCCCAUACCAAUUCACGACUUUAGGUUCAAGUUCUUAACAUGCAAAUGAUUUUCAAUCAGGAGUCGCCACUAAUCUAUUUUUGGUAGGUCGAUUAGAAACCCAAGUAAAGUAACGGAGAUUUACUUUACUCCUAUGAACCAGAGAUUUGGGUACGGGGACUUGGUUACGCUAGAUUUCUCUAACGCCCUUUCGGUACCAUUUCUUUUUAUUUUCAAAAAUGUUUUUGCAGGCACCUUAAAUCAAUUUUAAUUUACUUUCCUAACAUGUGAGGUGAUCACACAGAUGCGCAAACCACCAAUUUAACACCCAAGAAAGCAAAUAAAUAAAAUGCAGGACUUACCUUAUAGCAACGAAAGCAUCUGCGUUGUUAGAUCAGAAUUCAUAUAAGCAAUCAUAUAUAUAAUUUCUAAUUAACAAGCAAUUACUCAAUUUUUGUUUCACUUUUUUUAAACGAGAACAUAAUCCAUAUGCAAUGCAAUGCUUCUAAUCUAAUAUGAAAUAAUAUGGCAUGACAAUACGUCCUAAACUAUAUGAAUGAGUAAAAAAAACUAAUGAUUUCUUAAUGAACAUGCAACAAUUAGAUAUGCAAACUAAAUUAGCCAAAAUGACCUAAUUCUAAUGACGAGCAAUUUAAUUAGAAAUGAACCUAAUAACAAUCACUAAAAUGACGUGCAUUUCAUGGACCUAAUUCUAUAUGACGUGCACAUGAUUUUUCUAUUCUAAAAAAUGCAAUCUAUCCUAGAAAUUGCAACUAAUUUAUCCUAAGACAAAUUUUAUGAAAUUAUAAAUUUAAGAAAAAAAAAUGCAAAAAUGAGCUAGCUAGACUAAGAUUCUAUCUAAUUUAAACUAGGGAUUAAGUCAUAUUAAAUCCUAAUUUAAACUAAGACAUUAUCUAAAUCUAAAAUGCAAUUUAUCUAAAAAGAUGAUCUAAAUUUAAAAUGAAACAUGCAAUUAUAAUCUAAUAUGUACAAUGAUUUCUUUUGUGUUUUUCUUUAUGAAAUUCGAAAUUAAAACUAACACAUAAUUAAACAUGCAAUUCAAAUAAAUAAAAAAACUAACAACCUAAAUGAAUGCACUUUUUUGUUUCCUUUUUCAUGAUUGAAAAUAAAACCCCUAUUCUAAACAUGCAAAGAUAAUUAAAAACAAACCUAAACCUAAUUCAAUUUUUUUUUGGAUUUCCUUUUCCUUUUACGAAAAUAAAACUGACUAAAACACCACGACAUCAAAUCAAGCAAGAUAAUGUUGAUAUCUAAAAAUUGGCGAACCAUAUCUCGCGCAUGAGAUCGGGUUGACCAAUUUUAAAAAUAAAUCGCGAAUCAAAUUUCGGGCUUGAGAUUGGAUUGUCAAUUUUUGCAAGGGAUUGCGAGUCGGAUUUCGAGCGCGAAAAUCGAACUGUCAAUCCCUAAUUUAAAAGGCUCGUCGAAUUGUGAAUAUCAGCCAAGGAUUUCAUCAAGAAUACUUCGGAUUGGGAAACAAAACGAAUUAAUCAAGAUCCUUACCUAAUUCACAAUAUUCCAAAUUAGAACGCGUUGGAUGGUGGCUGAAUAGGACCACGAACCACGGGACAAUGGCAAUUUUGAUGGAACCCGUAACCUUCAAGGAGACCGUCGAUGGAUUCCGGCUCCAAGGAACUUUGUACUUCUCAACAAGGCCACAGAAAUCUGCAAGUAAUCCAAAUUGGACCCAACGAAUUUUGUUGAUUUCGUUGGAUCCAACGAAGAGGAAAGCAAAACAGCAAUGUAUUGCCGAGUAAUACAUGGACCCACUACAAUAAAAAUACAAUAUAACACGGUCAAUCCCCUCUCAGAAUUGACUGUUGUCUUUUUAUUGGGGAUGUCUACGUUGGGCACAUCGGGAAGAUCUGCGAAAGCAAAGUCAAACUCGACCAGGGGCUGAUUCAAAACUGGUCGAGUAUUAAGGGGCCUCGGCAUGGCGGCGCCUUGUGAGAUUGGCUCCAGCAGGUGACUCUCGGGUCGGCGCACGAUGAGAGACUCGUGCGGUGAUGGUGUCAAUGAGUGGCGUGGCCAGCUCGGCGAAGUGUCUACAACUGCGAUGAGUAAUUGGCAAUAAGAACAAGACCACACUGUAAGCGUUCUCAAACACCGGGGAAUCUGCACACGGGAAAUUUCUGCAUUAGACGGGUGUAAAAGGACAAUUGAAAGAGUUAUAUGUGUGUUGCUUGAGGUGGCAUCAUCAUCAAUGAGAAGCUGCAACACGUCCGGAUGUGCAGGAGACACCAAGGAUAACACCAGGGACGCAGUGAUGAGAUAAGCACGCAGGAGGAACGUGGGAAGUUGAACUGGGAAUCAACGUCGUUGGUGCAAGGCUCGGUUAGAUUCAGAGAAAGUCGUCGUUGGAGGGACUCGGAAGGAAGCAGCAAUGGCACCAUCGUCAUGUGGGGUUCGCUAGGUUGAAGCGAUGAACACCGGAACAAGGAGGCGCGAUCCCAGCAGUAGGGACUCACCGCAGCAGGCGAGAGUCAUAGGAUCUUCACGUCUCUUACUCUUUGAGCGUUCACUGCGCUCUCUCUCUCACUCUAUGAAUGUGUGGCCGUGUAUUCAAUGUAUUGUGUGGCCCCCCUAAACCCUAUGUAUUUUACCUAUUUAUAGAGCAUGGAUUAGGGUUUUUAAAUUUUCCAAAUUCAUAUCCACGAAGAUUUCUUUUCGACACGCAAUAUUUAUUUUUUCCAAACGCAAUAUUUGCUUUUGUAUUGAAAUCUCAUAGUGAUAAAUCUGUAAAAUCUCUCCGAGGAUAUGGGUUUGGGCCGAUUUACUUUCUUCGUGGGCUUAGCCCGACUUAUCAAUUCGAACCCAUCCGCCACCGGUCCAACAACUAAAUGCAAAAAAUGCAAAUGUACAAUAAAUGCACCUAAAUAUAUAUGCUAUGCAAUUAAUAUUUUUCCAAGGACAAAGUUAACCCAUAAUUUUCUAUGCAAUAAAUGACUAAUCGGGUCGCCAAAAUUUAGGUGUCAACAAUAACUAAAACGAGAAAAUUUUCUACUCAACUCAAUGGCAAUAUCUGUCCAGACAAAUAACGAGAUUUGUGAUAUCUAUAGCUACUAGAGUCCAAGGAGACAUUGCGAGGCAUCUAGAUUCAAUCCUGCAGAAAAGGCAAUGACCAAAGCAGAAGGAUAUAGAAAAGAAAUCAUGUCCUCUAUACUGUGAUAUAAUCUCUGUGAUUCUAUGAAUUAUGGAAAGCAGGAGUUUCCGCAGUAAGUAAAUCAAAACAGAACUCGGGCACUACUACUAUUUCCCAAGUCAAAGCUCUCUAUUAUUUUUUUAAGGCUUGUUCAAUAAAUCAAUAGUUUACAGUUUAAAAAUUUACUUGUUUCAUCACGGCUGCUGAAUAUCAUUACAAAAACAACUGCUGAGGACAACAAUACUGUACAGCAACUAAGCCUCUAUCCAUGUCCAUUUAGUACUUCUCAGGGACACUAGGCAUGUCCUUUUAGGACUCUCUAUACAAGUUUGAUAUCUGCCUCUAUGGUCACAUUCUUCAAGGAGUCCAUUGUUGAUUUAAACCUUCUAUCUAUCUUCUGUUUAAUGAAUGCAUUGUCCGUGCAUGUAUGCCAAAAAAAACCAAAAACUACCAUCGUCAAAGCCAAAACCACAGCUAUAGCGUUGAACUGUCGCGCUGAACUACUACUGUUAAGUCCAAUUUAGCCCCAAAAAACACUUCUUUGUCUAGACAGACACUUCCUUAACGCAUUACUUAUUGAUAGCACUCGUUCAGUUAAGCAACUUGCACAUAAUCCUCGGCAGUUCGAACAGCCCAAGAUGCCGGCAAGCCCUCACCAGAGUCCAUGACGGACUGAGCCAAGCACGCGCGCAAGCCCAUCGAUUGCACCACUCUAGCCAUCCCAGGAACGUGCUAUCCUCCUGCCUCAGCAAAGCAAGUGUCCCGCUCCAUCAAAUCAACACAAUAUCAUGUUGGAAAAAUAUGGCUUAGAAUUAGGUAGAGCAAUGAAGCCGGAUAUUUAGAGUAAUCAAGUUGAAUUUUAAGGCGUGCUAUCACUUUUUUUAAGGAUUUAUUUGCUCCACAAAGUUGCUAAUGGUCACCGACAAAUUUUCUCCAUGAUACAACAAAGUUUCAAAUAAGAAUACUAGAUAGUAAUUCUAGUAUUUCUCCAGGAUCUCUCAUAGGAAACAAUUGGAAACAAUAGCUUUAGUUUCUUUAGAAAGAAAACAAAAAAAUGAAAGAAGAUUUAUGUUUGAUAUCAAAACAAACGCACUUAUCUUUGUCUUUUGAAUAGAGACAACCCUUCCAAAGUUACAAAAGAACAAAUGCAACUUUUCGUGAACAAGUACGUCUUUUACGUUGAAAAAACAUAAAAAUUCGAAAUUAAAUAAAUAACAAAUAAAAAUAAUCGUAACAUUUCGUAAACAAUCGCACUGUUUCAAUAAGACUUUAUAAUUAAUUUUUAUAGAAAUAAAUCCGAAUUUUCAAUAAAUAAAAAUAAUGAUCAUUGGUUAGUGCCAAAUCUCGUCCACGUUGCACUCACAUCUUUUCGAUGUGGGACAAGGCACCUUUUCAUUUGUUUUAUAAACAAACUACAACACAUCUUGAUCGCAAUUCCAGAAAACCGCAACAAAACACUGGAGUCGAAAAAUCCCGCAAAGUCCGGCGCGCUUACACCGGAGUGAAUGAGCUCGAUUCCGCAGAGCAGGGUGGAGACGUAGGAGUCCUCCUCGGUCAUACUGGCCUCGUAAGGCCAUAUCCGGUCGUGCAGCCAGGUCACCAGAUCGACGUCGUCGGCUAUCCCGCGCGCCAGCUGCUGAGACGUGUGCACGUGCGUGUUGACAAAGCCUGGUUCACUAAUGAAUCGGAGUCAGAACUGCUUUCUGAGUACCGAAUCGAAAGUACGCAGAGGGAGAGGACUUGGGAGUAGAAUUUGGCCGCGGAGGUCGACAACUUCGCCGGCGACGCCACGGAACCGGCGGAGGAGGUCGGGCAAGUGGCCGACGGCCUUGAUCCUGUCGCGCUCGAUGAUGACGGCACAGUCGCCGUAGACGAGGCUCUCGGAGUCCAUGGUGACGACGGUGGCGUUGUGGAGGAGCAGGAUCGGCAAGCCUCCGGGAGCUUCCAUGUUCGAUUGUCGGUCUGGAGCUUUGAGGUCGCUUUUGCUGUGCUGAGCAGCCAGAAGAGGGAGCACGACACUGCCUGGUGCUGGAUUGGAUAUUUUUAAGUUGAAAAAGCAGACCGCGCUCGCUGUCGUCGCACGACUCAGCUUUUCAUGUAGAAAUCGAAACUCGACCCACAAAAAAUAAAAAUAAAAGGAGAGAGAAAUGAUAAUGCGAUUGCCUUUAAUCUAUUACAAAAAUAAUAAUUUAUACUAUAUCACAAAGAAUUAAAUAAUAAAUAAAUAUAAAUUAUUAUAAGACUUACUUCUUUAAGGAUUUGUGACUUAUAAUAAGUUAUUAUUAACCGUUAUGCUAACAAAGCCCUAAAAAACAGACGUAUUUCUCAUUUUCUAAGAAAUUAAUGAACCAUCAUUUCUCUUUAUCGAGAAGCUUUGCUAGUAGCUGGUUGUGAGUCAUAAAUUCUUGAAGAAAUUGACCCUAUAAAAAUUUCUAAUUAUUUAUUAUUUAUUUUUUUGUCCAAAAUAUAUUGCCAUUUGCCUAGUAAAUUAAAGACCGUCAUGUAAUUCUUUCUUUUUCCAAAAUUAUAAUCUUAAAGAGCAAUGGAACAAAAUGUGCACUUUUUUUUAAUUCCAUUUAAAUGGACCUCAGCGGUUUCAAUUGGUGGAAGGGUCAUAACAAUUGCCACAAACCAAAAAAUCUCCUUUCAUUGCCUUUUUCAAAUGCUGUAGUUCAGAAACUCACUUGAGUCGAGAAUUCUUAGUGUUUGCACUUUGAAAUUCCAUAUAACUAACAGCAUCAAAUGAAGCUUGACCUAUGAAAUAUCUUACUGAUCUCAUAGACUAAUUAGGAGUUAGGGCACAAACACGAGCUGGAUCCCAUAAUAAGGACAACCAAAACUUGCAAUUGUUUUGAAGCUUGAUGGUGCGUAGAGCCAAAUUUUUUUAAAGAAUUUAUAGCUCCAAUAAGUUAUUAUUUUUAUAAUAACAAAAAAAACGUUAUGCUAGCAAAGCCCUAAAAAAGAGGUGUUUCUUGUUUUCUAAAAAAAUAAUGACAAUUUUUUCAUCGCCAUCAUUUCUCUUUACCAAGAAGCUUUGCUAGUACCUGGUUGUAAGCCAUAAAUUCUUAAAGAAAUUGAUCCCGCAAUAAUUCUAAUUAUUUAUUAUUUAAUGUUGAUACUUAAAUUUUAGCUUCACAUUUAGUCAUUUAUUGCAUAAGAAAAUUAUGGAUCCAAACUGAUCUCUAAAAAUAUAAAUAUCAAUUUUUACUUUGCAUGUUUAGUUCUUGUAAAGCAUGUCCGCAUCCAAUAAAUUUCAUAUGAGCUAGCGUUAAUAUGCUUGAACUCAAGAAGCCAUGAACAUGCUUUAAGUUGGCACACGGAUUAACAAAUCCUCAGAAUGUGCUCGAUUAUCAAUUUGCGCACAUGAGAAUUUGAAACUUGAGGGUCACGAUUUCCGUAAAGAUGAGGGAAGUCAAUCAAUUAGAGAAAUCUUCUCUUCAGUAAAUCUUCCCUCUAGUAAAUUUUGGCCAGAUAAGUGGAGAUCUUUUUCCAAGAAUACCAGAAUGCACAAGAGGAAACAAAUAUGUUGGCUGCGAAAUCACGGGAAUUUUGUCUGACCGUAAGUUGAGGGAAAUGAAUUAGAAAAAGGAAAAGAUUGACAGAAUUUUCAUGGAAUAUUCUCCACGGCUUUGGCCAAGAUAUCCCGCGUCCAAAAGCUCAACUCCACCAGGUCUCACGAAUCAUCUUUCGCAUAAUAAGAGGAGUCGAUCUUGGCAAAUCAUCAUAAAAGCAAUCUCACUUUUUUAGCUACUGAUCAUGGAAAGAUCCGGAGCUCGGAGUGACGAGGACGGACUGAAUCCUCGUUCCUUCGUAGACACCUCUGGAUUGCUUGGGAUUCUUUCUGAAAAAUUGAAAUUAUGAGGAGAAUCAAUGGGAUUUGUCCAUCAACAUGGAAAGAAUGGACGCUCACUCGAAUACAGGGCGUUCAAGCGCAAGGUAUAUGAAAAGAUUGAGCGGGGAGGAAAUUAAAGGAAAGAAUAAAAAAAUAAUUCUUGUUGUGAAAUCGUAAAUGAUAGUGAGUGAAUCUGGAUACGUUCGAGGCAAUAUCAGUGAAUCAGAAAAGGAAAAGAUUGUGAAAGAAGGUGAGGGACGCGUACUUGAGAGAUUUACGGUGACAAAUCAGGGCUAAGAUUUGGCAAUCCCCACGAUCAAAGGAGCACGGGUUCUGACUUUCCAAUGCUGAUGUGGAGAGAUUGAUUUUGUGGUACGCUACCUACUAGUCCUCCACUUGUCAUGCGAGCACUAUACAUUUAAUACGCAGAUUCUCUCUCUCUCUCUCUCUCUCUCUCUCUCUCUCUCUCUCCUGUGCUUAGUGGGAUGCAACAUUGUGUGUGUGUGUGUAUAAAGCCGAGCCAUCCCUUGCAUGAUUUUCAUCGAAAGUUAUGGCCUUCUUUGAUCACCACCAUUUCUGGACCUUGACUUUCGGUAUCCUAGGUAAAGAAGGAAGAAACCAGAAGCUGUUCGCCCUUCAUCUCCAUUUGCUUCUUCUUCUUCGCAAUAAUGCUGCUUGCUUGCGCCAUUUCCUUUCAUCCCGCUUUCCUCCAUCCAUCUUCAUACGGUCUACAUGCAUUUAUUUUUUCCGCUUGAUGAAUUGUUCGUAUUUAGUAUCUUUAGCAUGAUGGUUAGCAGGUCAUUCUCUUCUUUUCUUCUUCUUUUCGUUUGGCAACUCUUUCUUCCAAAACCUCAUUCUUUCUCUUUCUAUCAAUUGCAAAACACACGUAAAGCAAAAACAAAAAUCACAAAGAAAAUGAGAAAUUUUUUCCCGGUGCACUAAUCUUGACACCACUCUUCACAUAGUGUUGUUCUCUCUUUUGAUGAUACAAACCCCGCUCAAAAUCAAACCUCCGGCAACCCUUUCAGUCUCUUGGACUUUUGCCAACUUUUUCACAACCCUUUUGGUCAUUUCCUCCAAUGAUUUUUGUUUUCACUCUAGCACACUUUUAGAAUUAGCUUUCAAUAUUGAAGCCGGUACCCUAGCGUCUGUGGUAAAUAGGUUCGUCUUGAAGUUGUGGCAACUAACGUAGGAUUUAUAUUGUCUCGAGUCGGUUUGCAUUUCGUGGGAAUUCAUUCUUUUCAUCUUUUGGCAUAUUGUGUAUACAAAGGUUAAACAGUGACAUGUAACAUGAUUUAGUUCGAGUUCUGUUCAACCAUGCCGUAUGUGCUCAACACUUAGAUUAGUAAAUGACUGAGGUUGUUUUUCUUCUUCUUUAAUUUUAACCCUAGCAAAAAGAGCAUUUUCAUCUGCACCGCGCUUGCACAGAAUAAUCUAACAUUUGUGCUUUUCCUUUGCAUUCGAUGAUAGGAAACAUUGUCUCGUUCUUCGUCUUCUUGGCUCCAGCGUAAGUAAUCAUGUUUUUCUUUGAAGUUCUUUUCCUUCACUUCUUAUUUUAUUUGAUCCCGAUACAAUAACUAUGAUUCUUUUUCUCUUCUCAUGUUGCAGGCUGACAUUUUACAGAAUCUAUAGGAACAAAUCGACCGAGGAAUUCCAAUCGAUACCAUAUUUGGUCGCUCUAUUCAACUCCAUGCUCUGGCUUUACUAUGCAUUCCUCAAAGGACACUCCUUCCUUCUCAUCACCAUUAACUACUUCGGAUGCGUCAUAGAGAUUGUGUACAUUGCCAUCUACAUUGCUUAUGCGCCGAGAGCUGCCAGGAUACGUAUUGAUCAUUAGACGGUAUGAGCGUUGUAUUGUCUAAUGAUCAAUACGUACCCUGGCAUCUCUCGGCGCAUAAGUCAUGUAGAUGGCGAUGUACACCAUCUAUAUGAUGCAUCCAAAGGAGUUAAUGGUGAUGAGAAGGACGGAGUGUCCUUUGAGGUAUGCGUAGUAAAGCCAGAGCACGGAGCUGAAUAGAGGGACCAAAGACGGUAUCAAUUGGAAUUCCUUGAUCGAUUUGUUCCUGUAAAUUCUGCAAAAUGUUGGCCUACAACAGGAGAAUAGAAAAAGAAUCAGUAGUUAUUGUAUCGGGAUCAAAUAAUAUAAGACUAUCUUCAUUCUAGUGAAGGAAAAUAACUUCAAAGAAAAACAUGAUUACUUACACUAGAGCCAAGAAGAUGAAGAACGCGCCCCGGGUGAGAGUGGUGAUUGGUGCGCGAAGCAUUGUUAUGUUACUUCCCCACCGCAAAGCUGUCCCUCGUGUAAUGCUUCGUUCACGUGACUUCUCCGAAUUUUACAUUUUCGUUCCUUGCUGACUCCUCCCCGCACUCAAAAACCCUGAACCAUUACCCCUCUGGGGCGGCGGCGGCCUGCGUAAUGCUUCGUUCACGUAACUUCUCCAAAAUUUUAGGAGCUCUAGAGGGUUUCGUAAGUGCGCAUUCAUGGCAUCUCCCCGCUCUGGCCUUUUUGUUCUUGAAGCCUCGUGCACGUGCGCCUUGCGGUUGCGCGAGGCAUGUUAGGACAAGAAGGGUGAUGACCAUGUACAGAACAAACUUGCAUCAUUUGCAAUGUCCCUGUGAUGAGCAAAGGAGCAAGAAACAUUUGAAACCAAUGGGAGUUGCACUACCAACCGCGCGGCAAUUCAGUAGAUCAGAUGCUGCUUAAAACUAGAGUUAGAAUAUGCAGCCAAAUCCUGCUCAGAAUAGACUUACAAGAUUCGGCACAAGCAUUACAAGACAAUCCCCCUCUUCCUUUGGAUUCUCUUAUCUAUAAUGCUGUUCUAGCAAUGAUGUACACCCAACUCCCUCUUCCUCCAAAUUUCAAGAAAGUAUAAACAGAGAAUGGAGAGAUUAGACCCGAAAAGAGCCGAGUUAGAGUAGCAGGGACCAAGUCCUCCUAAUUCAACCACAAUCUCUCCGCUCAUUUCCCUUCGACAAAAUGGAAUAUGCACAACACGACGUGAAAGGAAUGAAAGCGUGCAAGUCAGUUAUGUGCAGGCUUUGACGUCCUGGUUUUGUUUCAUAGAUGUUGAUGAUGUUGAAGAAGAUAUAGUUGAUGACUUAUCGAGCCCUCUCGAACUUUAUCCUAAUUUUCCACUAUCAAAUGAUGGAUUUGACCAGCCAUCUUCAUGUUCGGGGCGACUUACUGCAGCGGUUUCUAUGAUGAAGAGUUUUGAAGUCCAUUCUUUGUCAACCCCUCUCGAGUUGUUAGUCUCUGCAACAAGGUUUUCAAGAAGCGAGAGUCCUGGUUGGUGAUUCCAGUGCUUUUUGUGGAAGGGCCUAUUCUUCCCUGUUAUUGUUAUAUUUUAGCUGAUCGUUAUGACUUAUGCCUUCUCGUUCUUCCUCAGGCAAAAGCUUGCAGUGCUCAUCUGGCAGCAUUCAACCAUCAAAACUCCUCUCCUUUGCGAAAUCUCAGGUAAUACAUUCCUUCUGAUCGUGUCCUAGUCACUAAUACGAUCAGUUAGUCAAGGAAAACGUGACAAUUCGAUGUUUGUGCUCGGAAAAUCUCGAUUUCUUUCCUUAGCUUCAAGAUACAAUGGAAUAAUAUUUUUGCCAUGACUAACAAACAUAUGCAGGUGGACUAUAUCCUGGGAGACAACCCCAGAGCCAUGAGCUACAUGGUCGGGUACGGGAACAACUACCCAAGGCAGGUCCAUCACUAGGCGACUUCCAUCGUGUCCAUCAAGGAGGAUUCGUCCUUCGUCAGCUGCUGAGCUGGUUAUGCCGCCUGGUUUAGCCGGAAAGCAAGCGAACCCAAUCUCCUCACUAGUUCUAUCAUCAGUGGCCCCGAUACAUAUGAUAACUUUGCUGUCAAAGAGACAAUUACAAGCAAAUGGAGCCUGCUACUACAACAACGCUCCACUCCUCGGCAUAUUAGCCUGGUUGAGUGGUGGUCACGGCAGUUACAGUCAACUCCUUCCAGGUAUUUGAUCUUUGAAAUGUGUUGUUAUUUUAGACAAAAGCAAUGUCUUGACAUAUUUCGGCAUCUGAUGGAUGGGUUUCUAUUCAAUGCAGUGGUUGUUCCUGCGCCGAAAGCAGCCAUGGCCAAGCCAAGUCUAGCUCCUGGUACAAUUUCCUCCGCCUUCCCUUUUUUCUUUGAUUAAUUCUGUGAUUCCAUUACCUCACUCAUCUGCUUUUGCCUUUUGAUUGCAGUAACAACUUCCAACAUGCUGUCCAUCGAGCAGAAGCUAACGGCUUCAUGGACUGCCAACAGGAGAACUUACCACAGAUGCUAAACAGUGGUGACCAACAAAUCGGACAAGAUGCUGAAAUAUGUCAACCUGUCGAUCUCCAAGCUCUACGGUCCUCUGUGGGGACUAAC